Molecule: microRNA precursor, 208 nt
Filed under: Oryza glumipatula
Lineage: Eukaryota; Viridiplantae; Streptophyta; Magnoliopsida; Poales; Poaceae
Description: MIR812 microRNA precursor family
Rfam family: MIR812 microRNA precursor family
Source: Rfam by way of RNAcentral
AAUAAGUGCAGCCAUGGAUAUCCGUGCCCAACAUUUGACCGUCCGUCUUAUUUGAAAAAUUUGCGAAAAAUUUAAAAAUAUUUAGUCACACAUAAAGUACUAUUUAUGUUUUAUCAUCUAAUAGCAAUAAAAAUACUAAUCAUAUAAAAUUUUUAAAUAAGACGAACGGUCAAACGUUGAACGUGAAUAGUGUAAAACUGCACUUAUU